This 243-nucleotide ribosomal RNA is filed under the name uncultured bacterium. RNAcentral's name for it is "partial 16S ribosomal RNA". It matches the Rfam family "Bacterial small subunit ribosomal RNA", at positions 95 to 334 of the family's 1533-position model. The record is from RNAcentral.
CCGGCGCACGGGUGAGUAACACGUAUGCAAUCCACCUGUAACAGGGGGAUAACCCGGAGAAAUCCGGACUAAUACCCCAUAAUAUGGGCGCUCCGCAUGGAGAGCCCAUUAAAGAGAGCAAUUUUGGUUACAGACGAGCAUGCGCUCCAUUAGCCAGUUGGCGGGGUAACGGCCCACCAAAGCGACGACGGAUAGGGGUUCUGAGAGGAAGGUCCCCCACAUUGGAACUGAGACACGGUCCAA